CUUGAGAAACCUAAAAGUUCGAAAAGAGAGAUUCAACGUCAGUUGAUAUUGUAUUCACGUGAGUAGUGAUGUGUGCACAUUUUCAUGUUAUUUUAUUGCAAUAUUUGACCGGCGUGCACUUCUCUCUUAGUAGGACGUCCCGACCCGUUGAGUCUUGGCCUACGGCACAGACUUUAAUGUUUCGACAUUAAAGACCUCUGACAUUAAAGACCUCUGAUGUUCUCCUGGCUAAAGUACUCGACGGGGUGUUGAGCCGCAUUUUUAAUGCGUCCAUGCGUCCGGCCAAUCGCAAGUUUUUUGAUGUACCGUAUUAUCAUAGACUGAGCGCUAUGUAUAUGGAUUGUGCUUUAGGACCGGCUUAUUCAUCUGUCUGGGACGCUUAGGCUUUGGGUACUCUCAAGACCCGUCUUGAAACACGGACCAAGGAGUCUAACAUGUACGCGAGUCAUUGGGUAUAUAUUUUCCAAACCUAAAGGCGUAAUGAAAGUAAAGGUUGGA
Molecule: ribosomal RNA, 498 nt
Filed under: Braunsia sp. H2370
Lineage: Eukaryota; Metazoa; Arthropoda; Insecta; Hymenoptera; Braconidae
Description: eukaryotic LSU rRNA
Rfam family: Eukaryotic large subunit ribosomal RNA
Source: RNAcentral